AGUUAAAAUCUUUUUCUCCUAGGUCAAUGGUCUCAUAGACUUCAUUCUGGAUCAGAUUUACAUCAAUAAAUUGGUCUCUUUUAUUUUCAAGACUAAAAAUAUUAAGAUCAAUAGUCAUGUUUUUAAAUGAGAGUUUCAUGAGUCCAUUGCGACAAUUGAUUAGGGCAUUGGUGGUUGCUAAGAAUGGUCUUCCUAAGAUUAUUGGGAUGUGACCUUUUGGAUUAAUCACUGAUUCAAUCUCGAGGAUCACAAAAUCCACAGGAUAAAUAAAAUUACUGACCUUGAUUAGCACAUCUUCCACAACUCCUUUAGGAACCCUCAC
RNAcentral lists this long non-coding RNA (322 nucleotides) under Elaeis guineensis (African oil palm). RNAcentral's name for it is "long non-coding RNA (EGUI_LNC008881)". The record is from RNAcentral. Lineage: Eukaryota; Viridiplantae; Streptophyta; Magnoliopsida; Arecales; Arecaceae.